GACGAACGCUGGCGGCGUGCCUAAUACAUGCAAGUAGAACGCUGAAGGAGGAGCUUGCUUCUCUGGAUGAGUUGCGAACGGGUGAGUAACGCGUAGGUAACCUGCCUGGUAGCGGGGGAUAACUAUUGGAGACGAUAGCUAAUACCGCAUAAUAGCAGUUGUUGCAUGACAACUGUUUGAAAGGUGCAAUUGCACCACUACCAGAUGGACCUGCGUUGUAUUAGCUAGUUGGUGGGGUAACGGCUCACCAAGGCGACGAUACAUAGCCGACCUGAGAGGGUGAUCGGCCACACUGGGACUGAGACACGGCCCAGACUCCUACGGGAGGCAGCAGUAGGGAAUCUUCGGCAAUGGACGGAAGUCUGACCGAGCAACGCCGCGUGAGUGAAGAAGGUUUUCGGAUCGUAAAGCUCUGUUGUAAGAGAAGAACGAGUGUGAGAGUGGAAAGUUCACACUGUGACGGUAUCUUACCAGAAAGGGACGGCUAACUACGUG
RNAcentral lists this ribosomal RNA (495 nucleotides) under uncultured bacterium. RNAcentral's name for it is "partial 16S ribosomal RNA". It matches the Rfam family "Bacterial small subunit ribosomal RNA", at positions 28 to 507 of the family's 1533-position model. The record is from RNAcentral.